UAAAAGAAAUAUUUGGUUCUGGUAUAAUGUUAGCUAUAGAGUUUUUUACAUUACACAAUGUAGGACAGUUUCGUGAUGUGUAAAAGUCUGAUCUAUAGGAUAAGCCGAACAAUUUAACUAUCCUAAAGGGAUAAAUGUGGCAGCAGGAGCAUAAGUUUAAAAUGAUGACGCGAAGGAAAUCACAACUCAAGUGGGUAGAUCUGGAAAUCAAUGAGUUCUAGCUUGAAACGAAUAAAAAACUAAUUAGAUUGAAGCGAAAGAGGGUGCCAGCAGCUGCGGUCACUCCCUCUCUCAAAGAGCUAACAAGGGUGCAGCUUAGAGGCAGUUAGUUAAAACACAAAUGCAAGACAUACAGCAGGGGCUAUGGGUGAAAUCUCAGUCCUGCGGGAGGUCCAAAACUUGCGUAAAAAUGAUUCUGCGAAGUUAUGGGUAUAGACCCGGAUUUGGUACCCGGUUAUUCCAUAAUGUCAAGUAUAGCUACCUUAUUUAACUGGUAGUUUGCUAGGGGUACUACGAGCAACUGCUUAAAACUCGAAGAACUUGGCGGUUCCGCAUAACCAUCCAGAGGCUCUUGGCGCUUAAUCUGAUGAUCCGCGUGAUAUCUUACCUGCCCUAUAGAAAGCAGUGUACUGCCGUCGAAAGCUUAUAAUGUGAGUAAGUAGCAAUAGGCUUAAUCUUGGGGUUUAUAAGAAAUUAAUAACCAUGCCGAGGCUAGGUCAGGUCGAAGUGCUCCUUAUGGGCAAGGGGUUAGCUGAGAGACGAAUAUUUAGACAUAUAAAGAUUUUAGGGAUGAAAUUCUCUUAGUGUAUAUAAGGAUUUGGGAGUAAAAAGAGAGUAACUCGUUUUUUUGAAAAGACGCAACUGCGGUGCGUUCAAAUCGCCCGUCACCCUAGCCGAAAGGAGAGGUAAGUCGUAACAUGGUAAGGGUAGGGGAACUUGCUCUUUUAAUAG
This 951-nucleotide ribosomal RNA is filed under the name Magallana belcheri. RNAcentral describes it as "Crassostrea belcheri 12S ribosomal RNA". The stretch from base 181 to 951 matches the Rfam family "Microsporidia small subunit ribosomal RNA". The record is from RNAcentral. Lineage: Eukaryota; Metazoa; Mollusca; Bivalvia; Ostreida; Ostreidae.